RNAcentral lists this ribosomal RNA (442 nucleotides) under uncultured bacterium. RNAcentral describes it as "partial 16S ribosomal RNA". It matches the Rfam family "Bacterial small subunit ribosomal RNA", at positions 338 to 795 of the family's 1533-position model. The record is from RNAcentral.
CCUACGGGUGGCAGCAGUGGGGAAUAUUGGGCAAUGGGCGCAAGCCUGACCCAGCAACGCCGCGUGAAGGAAGAAGGCGUUCGGGUUGUAAACUUCCUUUGACAGGGAAGAGUAGUAGACGUUACCUGUCGAAUAAGCGACGGCUAACUACGUGCCAUCAGCCGCGGUAAUACGUAGGUGGCAGGCGUUGUCCGGAUUUACUGGGUUUAAAGGGCGUGUAGGCGGGUUGACAAGUCCGUUGUGAAAUUCUGCGGCUUAACCGCAGAACUGCAGUUGAAACUGGUGAUCUUGAGUACUGGAGAGGCAGACGGAAUGCCUAGUGUAGCGGUGAAAUGCGUAGAUAUUAGGAGGAACACCAGUGGCGAAGGCGGUCUGCUGGACAGCAACUGACGGUGAGGCGCGAAAGCGUGGGGAGCAAACAGGAUUAGAUACCCCGGUAGUC